This 407-nucleotide ribosomal RNA is filed under the name uncultured bacterium. RNAcentral describes it as "partial 16S ribosomal RNA". It matches the Rfam family "Bacterial small subunit ribosomal RNA", at positions 29 to 526 of the family's 1533-position model. The record is from RNAcentral.
AUUGAACGCUGGCGGCAGGCCUAACACAUGCAAGUCGAGCGGAGCGGCGGACGGGUGAGUAAUGCCUAGGAAUAUGCCUGGUAGUGGGGGAUAACGUGCGGAAAAGGGAGCUAAUACCGCAUACUAUCAGAUAAGCCUAGGGCGGAUUAGCGAGUUGGUGGGGUAAAGGCCGAACAAGGCGACGAUCCGUAACGGGUCUGAGAGGAGGAGCAGUCACACUGGAACUGAGACACGGUCCAGACUCCUACGGGAGGCAGCGGUGGGGAAUAUGGGACAAGGGGCGAAAGCCUGAUCCAGCCAUGCCGCGUGUGUGAAGAAGGUCUUCGGAUUGUAAAGCACUUUAAGUUGGGAGGCGUUACCAACAGAAUAAGCACCGGCUAACUUCGUGCCAGCAGCCGCGGUAAUAC